GCCCCGGUAGCUCAGCAGGAUAGAGCAGCCGCCUCCUAAGCGGCAGGUCGCAGGUUCGACUCCUGCCCGGGGCACCA
RNAcentral lists this transfer RNA (77 nucleotides) under Natronospira bacteriovora. RNAcentral's name for it is "tRNA-Arg". It matches the Rfam family "tRNA". From Rfam's summary of the family: Transfer RNA (tRNA) molecules are approximately 80 nucleotides in length. The record is from RNAcentral. Lineage: Bacteria; Pseudomonadati; Pseudomonadota; Gammaproteobacteria; Natronospirales; Natronospiraceae.